CGGCAGGCGCCGCGCUGCCCGUGAUGGCUGCCGAGGUGAGGCCGCCGCGGCCGGCCCGGCACGGCCGGGUUCCCCCGGGGCGGAGCAGCGCGGCCCCGGCCCGCGGCAGCGGCACUGGCAGCAGUAUCAUUUCAGAACUCACUUGAUUCAGUAUGGCUUUGAUUAGCCGAAAAAGCUUCCAGUUGUAUUCAACCAGCACACCAGCAAGCAGAUCUGCUUUGAUGACCCUAAGCAAAAGGUUGAACUUCAUCAGUGGGCAGCGAAAGCCCCAGAGCUCUAGCUCCGUGGCCAUGAGGAUGCUGUGUGUCAAAGAUAAAUCUCAGUAUACGUUUUGUAGGAAAAAACAUGUACAACUGCAGAUGCAGUCCCUUUCUGUUAAUGAAGCUGUGCAUCUUUGUGGAGAUACGAGGAACUGUACUAAAUCAAAUAAUGUGUGGAUGGAUGAACAAUUAUUUUUCAAGAAGUUGAACAACCUUGGUACAUCAAAAGAGAUUUUUUGUUUUCUUAGCUCUCUAGAAGUCAUGUCUGAUACAAUGGCCUCGGGAGCCCUGCAGAAGAUUUCUGAAGUUGAGGUGGAUGACAAUGGUCUUAAAAACCCUGGGCUGUUAGAGAAUGAAGUUUUCAGGGCAUUAUGCUUCCAGUUUGAAUUUGAAUCCUCAAAACUGUCAAACACUGGGCUGCUGAAUGCCUUGCAGGCUUUGACAAAGCUACGCAUAGAUCCGCAGAGCACGCUGAUGACAAGCCUGCUUUCGGAGAGCGAGCAGCGGCUUGGCAGGGGACAGCUGACAGCUGAAAAUCUGUGUGCUCUCGGAGAGAGUUUGCUGGAGUUAGAAGGCCCAAGUUGUGCGACGCUGGAACAAAUUGUGAACCGCAUGCAAGAAAGAGACAUUAGGAGUUGGAGUCCCAGGGAAAUAGUGAUGGUUUAUCAGAUACUGCAAGUGACUGUAAGGGAAGGGAAACAAUGCCAAAGCUUGCUAAACAAACUGAACAGUGUCACUUUAUGUGCAGUUUCCCGGCUGAGCCCAAACUUUGUAAGUGUAAUACUGAAUUCACUGGUGGUUCUUCAUCAGACUCGGGCAGUUCUCUUAGUCACUGCACUGUGUAAACAUUCAGUGCAGCAUGUUCCCUAUUUUACAGAUCAUGAACUGAUAAAUGUACUGGAAGCUUUCCUAUACUUUGGUCAAAAAAUGCAAAUUUUUACAGAGGCACUGGAAAGACAUGUCCCCAACUCCAUCCACACUUUGCAUCCUCAAACUGUCAGCAAGGUCAUGCAGUAUUGCUGCAAAAAGUUGAUCCUUUCAAAACCCAUCUUUGAUGCAGUGGCAGAAAGUUUCAUUUCCAGUGCUGACAGACUUACCACUGACCAGAUUGCUGCAUAUAUUAUCCCGUUUGGGACUCUUAACUACCUCCCUCCAAGUGCUUCUUCCUUGUUUAGGAAGCUUGAAACUGUGCUGCAUACCCGCCUGAGGCAAUUUCAGCCUCACACCUUGCUGAACCUGCUACACUCAUGUGUCCUUAUUCAACGUUACCCGAUAAAUUUCCUGCCAAAAAUAUUUAGUCCCUAUUUUCUGCAAAAGCUUCAAGCUCAGCCACCUGGUUUGAACAGAGUUGUUACAUCCCAGCUAACCCAGCUUUUUCUGACUGUCACCCUGGAGUGCCCAUUUUAUGAGGGUCCGAAACUCCUUUCUAAGUACCAAGUAAAGGCCUUUCACACACCUCAGAGUUCUCCUGAUGUUCACCUCUUUAAAAGGGUGAAGACAGGAUUACUUUAUUUACUGAAAAAAAGAAUAUAUUUUGCAUCAGAGGUAUCAACACCAUUUUUCUAUGUAGUUGAUAUUGAGAUUAAAUUAGAUGAAGAAGGUUUUGUAUUGCCUGCUGCCCAACUUGAAGAGGUACACAGACGAAUUGCCCUGUGUGUUGAUGGUCAGAAUAGAUUUUGUGCUCAUAGCCACAAUCUGUUGGGAGAAGAAGCUAUUAAACAGAGACAUCUUCAGUUACUUGGUUAUGAAGUUGUGCAGAUUCCAUUUUUUGAGGUAGAAAGUCUACAAAAUACCAGAAAAAUAGCAGAUUAUCUACACAAAAAAAUCUUUCCUUGUACAAAUGGACUCAGCAACUGACACUGGAGAAUACUACUGGAUAACAGGCUGACCUUCUGUACUACAAAGUGUAAAUUCUGUGCAUGGAAGAAAAACUAUUUUUUCUAAGUAACUCCACCUCAGAAAAUCAAGCAAGAAGUUGAAGGAGAGCUGAAAUGGCUUUGCAAACAUUAAUAAGGAACUUACCACUAAUACAGAAGAAAUUGUCAGGGUGUUCUUCUGAGAACUGAGCACUGAAGGAAGAAGUGAACCAUUCACAACUGAAUGGGAAACAAGUAAUGGGAAGAACAACAUGUGAAAGACCUUCUAAAGUGUCUCACUGUAUUUACAAAUGACACAGAUUUCCUGUGUCUAAAUACCUGACAAAACCAGUGUCAGUCACAGCUGUGGACCUCCAGUCCUUUUUGUGUUAUGAUCACUCUGGCUGUUCCUUUCUGAGCAAUACUGCCUCAGCCUUAAACAACAACAGGAUCAAUGGCUCUUGAGAACCAAACUCUGCAGGAAAAACUCCUCCUGAAAUUACCUUAAAAUUUUAGUAGUGGAUUCUGUGAAAGUUCAAGGCAUCAAACAUUUCAUCAGAUUUAGACAUUUGUGCUAAACAUGCUUUUUAAAUGGCUACUGCUCAAAACCUUAUUUUUUUUCCACCCUUUCUACCAAAUUAUUUAGUGCUUUUUCUGCUAGUAUUACUUAGUCUUUUUUCCCAUUUCUUUCAGAUUCUAUACAGAACCAAUGAUGGUUUUUCUUGUUAAGUCAGUCAGAUGCCAUAACUGGAGUGGGUCAGUGAAAUGAAUGUCUGAAUUCAGCUAAAUCCAGAUUUUUGUCUCUUCAAAUGCCAAGUGCUCACAAGUUCCUUUUAACUCGAGUUCCACUUGAAGUCUAGUGAAACUGCUAAGCACAUAAACCCAUACAUUUUUGAAAAUUCUGAGCCGAAUAUCCAUUUCAGCUGUUGCAUACAUUAAAAAAAAGUCUCACAAUUCUCUAGCAACUCUGUAAGGAUUGAAAAAUCUGUGAUUACUGAUACCUUGAGGGACAAGUUUGUUUAAAAUGUUAGGUCUGUGAAUGGUUAUGUAGACGCAGUGCCCAGAAUUGCAGACACAGCUUUUGA
Molecule: RNA transcript, 3201 nt
Organism: Serinus canaria (Common canary)
Lineage: Eukaryota; Metazoa; Chordata; Aves; Passeriformes; Fringillidae
Gene: FASTKD3
Gene name: FAST kinase domains 3
Exons: 9
Source: RefSeq, a predicted model, not a curated record